Molecule: ribosomal RNA, 305 nt
Filed under: uncultured bacterium
Lineage: Bacteria
Description: bacterial SSU rRNA
Rfam family: Bacterial small subunit ribosomal RNA
Source: RNAcentral
UUUCCUACGGGACGCAGCAGUAGGGAAUAUUGCUCAAUGGGGGAAACCCUGAAGCAGCAACGCCGCGUGGAGGAUGAAGGUUUUCGGAUUGUAAACUCCUUUUGUUAGAGAAGAUAAUGACGGUAUCUAACGAAUAAGCACCGGCUAACUCCGUGCCAGCAGCCGCGGUCAUACGUAGGAUCCGAGCAUUAUCCGGAGUGACUGGGUGUAAAGAGUUGCGUAGGUGGCAUAAUAAGUAGCUAGUGAAAUCUGGUGGCUCAACCAUUCAGACUAUUAGCUAAACUGUUAAGCUCGAGACCGUUAGG